UGGGGAAUAUUGCACAAUGGGCGCAAGCCUGAUGCAGCCAUGCCGCGUGUAUGAAGAAGGCCUUCGGGUUGUAAAGUACUUUCAGCGGGGAGGAAGGGAGUAAAGUUAAUACCUUUACUCAUUGACGUUACCCGCAGAAGAAGCACAGGCUAACUCCGUGCCAGCAGCCGCGGUAAUACGGAGGGUGCAAGCGUUAAUCGGAAUUACUGGGCGUAAAGCGCACGCAGGCGGUUUGUCAAGUCGGAUGUGAAAUCCCCGGGCUCAACCUGGGAACUGCAUUCGAAACUGGCAGGCUAGAGUCUUGUAGAGGGGGGUAGAAUUCCAGGUGUAGCGGUGAAAUGCGUAGAGAUCUGGAGGAAUACCGGUGGCGAAGGCGGCCCCCUGGACAAAGACUGACGCUCAGGUGCGAAAGCGUGGGGAGCAAACAGG
This 429-nucleotide ribosomal RNA is filed under the name Chloroflexota bacterium. Its description in RNAcentral is "Chloroflexi bacterium partial 16S ribosomal RNA". It matches the Rfam family "Bacterial small subunit ribosomal RNA", at positions 355 to 776 of the family's 1533-position model. Lineage: Bacteria; Bacillati; Chloroflexota. The record is from RNAcentral.